This 502-nucleotide ribosomal RNA is filed under the name uncultured bacterium. RNAcentral describes it as "bacterial SSU rRNA". It matches the Rfam family "Bacterial small subunit ribosomal RNA", at positions 10 to 507 of the family's 1533-position model. The record is from RNAcentral.
AGUUUGAUCCUGGCUCAGAUUGAACGCUGGCGGCAUGCUUUACACAUGCAAGUCGAACGGUAACAGGGAGCUUGCUCCGCUGACGAGUGGCGAACGGGUGAGUAAUGCAUCGGAACGUGCCGUGUAAUGGGGGAUAACGUAGCGAAAGUUACGCUAAUACCGCAUACGCCCUGAGGGAGAAAGCGGGGGACCGUAAGGCCUCGCGCGAUUGGAGCGGCCGAUGUCGGAUUAGCUAGUUGGUAGGGUAAAGGCCUACCAAGGCGACGAUCCGUAGCGGGUCUGAGAGGAUGAUCCGCCACACUGGGACUGAGACACGGCCCAGACUCCUACGGGAGGCAGCAGUGGGGAAUUUUGGACAAUGGGCGAAAGCCUGAUCCAGCCAUGCCGCGUGAGUGAAGAAGGCCUUCGGGUUGUAAAGCUCUUUCAGCCGGAAAGAAAUCGCGCAGGAUAAUACUCUGCGUGGAUGACGGUACCGGAAGAAGAAGCACCGGCUAACUACGUG